AGAUUGGUCUUACAUCUUGGUGAAUGGGCUGCAACAGCGGAUCACAACCAGUGGUCUUAGUUAUUGUGGUCUUAGUUAUUAGAUCGCAGUAAUUGUUUCACUUUUCUUCUUUCUUUUCAAUACGUGUGUCAAAUGGGCAUGCUGGAUCGAUGAGAAGGCAUUUCUUGGUCUUAUUCUCAAUUACAGUGAUAUCAGAUGGAGAGAGGAUAACAUCUGGACUUACUCGUAGGCCGCUCCAGUUUUGCCUCAGAACUUGUAUAUGUGCUUCAGUUCUAACUGACACAUUCUUUCUGAGAAAAGAGGAAAAUUUUCAUAUUUUGAUGCCGGAGGGAAAAAAAGUAAUAAUAAUCAAAAAGAAAAUAAUGAUUAAAAAUAAAUAAAUUCUUAAAUCAAUAAGAAUAAGUGAUAUUAUUGCUGAACUUUAAAUUUAGUUAUGAUAGCAGAGAUCUUUUGUCAAAAGUAAGGAGUAUGAAAGAGGUUUUCCAGUGGAAUCUUGGAAGAUUACUGCGUAUUAAUCACCCAUUAAGAGAGUAGCCUAUCUGAGACCUAGAGAGGACAGCCCUUUGACAUAGG
Penaeus monodon (black tiger shrimp) is the source of this 573-nucleotide long non-coding RNA. RefSeq lists it as uncharacterized. The transcript has 2 exons. NCBI's taxonomy places the organism in Eukaryota, Metazoa, Arthropoda, Malacostraca, Decapoda, Penaeidae. The record is from RefSeq and is a predicted model, not a curated record.